This is a long non-coding RNA of Denticeps clupeoides (denticle herring), 1517 nucleotides long. NCBI's taxonomy places the organism in Eukaryota, Metazoa, Chordata, Actinopteri, Clupeiformes, Denticipitidae. The record is from Ensembl.
CCUGUCAGCUAACUAAAGAAAAACUAGUGGCCAUCAUUACUUUAAGAAAUUGAAAAACUUUAAUUGUGUCCCCAAGUGGAGUCGCAAAAACCAUCAAGCGCUACAACACAACUGGCACACGAGGACCAACCCAGGCAAGGAAGACCAAGAGUAACCUCUGCUUCUGAAGACAAGUUCAUAUGAGUCACCAGCCUCAGAAAUCGCAAGUUAUCAGCAGCUCAGAUCAGAGGCCAGAUAAAUGCCACACAGAGUUCUAGCAGCAGACCCAUCUCUAGAACAACUGUUAAGAGGAGACUGCGUGAAUCAGGCCUUCAUGGUCAAAUAUCUGCCAGGAAACCACUGCUAAGGAGAGGCAACAAGCAGAAGAGAUUUUGUUUGGACCAAGAAACACAAGGAAUGGACAAUAGACCAGUCGUCUGAUGACUUCAAAUUUGAGAUCUUUGGUUCCAGCCGCCGUGUCUUAGAGACGCAGAAAAGGAAAUUCGCAACCAGGUUUUCCAAAGACUUUGAUCUGGACCUGAAACAACAAGAACUUGUGUUUUUAGAUGCUGUGUCCAGUCACAUACCAGUUGAACCAGUUAUUUUAAAUGAACUGACAAAUCUACACGAUCUUAUCAGGUUGGAAACAGACUUAAAAUGGAACCUAAUCUGUCUGUUCCAUAUACAGCAAAACUCUUAUGAAUAUCCAGAAGAAUAGCAUACCAACGCAUGGCGGAGUCCAGUUAAGGCAUUUUACAGCACCAUGACUGAUGACGAGUUGGACCAGUGUGCGAGAUGAAGUCACUCUGGUUGCCGAAUGGUGAAGGCAUUUCUGCUAGAUAGAGGAUUUAGAGUGCAGUAUAAUUGCAUCUGAGCUUCAAUGCAUCAUGGUGACACCAGUGGUGUCAUGUCCCAAAUGGUUCAUGUAGGAUGUAUUGGUUAAAGGACCUACUCAGCUCCAGGCAUCCAGUCUUUCUUUAAUUUAUGGACACCAACCAUACAUUUAUUUGGUAUGUUCUGUUUGAAGAUAAAAACAGGAUGCACAAUUCCCAAGAACUGACAUUUUCUGGUUCCACUGUUUAGCACUUAAAACAUUCAGGGAUCCAAGACCCCUAGUGAAAUCAGACCUUAUGCUUCUUCAGUCAUGAAGUCAUUGUUUUUUCCUUUCAGCUAUAACGUUGUCAUCUUUGGUGGCAUUAAUGGUUUUUCUUGCAAGGAAAGAGCAGUACUAAAUUGACCAUUUUUUGUCUUUAAAACUUUUCAGUGUCUCAUAGUGUUUGCGUUGCAUCAUACUCUAGGUAAUGUGCAAUGGGUUGCAAAAGUAUUUGACCCCCUUGAAUUGUCACAUUACAGCCACAAACAUGAAUCUAUUUUAUUGGAAUUCAAGGUGAAAGACCAAUACUACAGGGAGUGCAGAAUUAUUAGGCAAGUUGUAUUUUUGAGGAAUAAUUUUAUUAUUGAACAACAACCAUGUUCUCAAUGAACCCAAAAAACUCAUUAAUAUCAGCGACCAAUAUAGCCACCUUUCUUUACAAGGA